UACAGAGGUCUCAAGCGUUGUUCGGAUUCAUUGGGCGUAAAGGGUGCGUAGGUGGCGCCGUAAGUCGGGUGUGAAAUUUCGGAGCUUAACUCCGAAACUGCAUUCGAUACUGCGGUGCUUGAGGACUGGAGAGGAGACUGGAAUUCAUGGUGUAGCAGUGAAAUGCGUAGAGAUCAGGAGGAACACCGAUGGCGAAGGCAGGUCUCUGGGCAUUAACUGACGCUGAGGAGCGAAAGCAUGGGGAGCGAACAGG
RNAcentral lists this ribosomal RNA (253 nucleotides) under uncultured bacterium. RNAcentral describes it as "partial 16S ribosomal RNA". It matches the Rfam family "Bacterial small subunit ribosomal RNA", at positions 524 to 776 of the family's 1533-position model. The record is from RNAcentral.